GAUGAACGCUAGCGGCAGGCUUAAUACAUGCAAGUCAAGGGGGGUAGCAAUACAACCGGCGCACGGGUGAGUAACGCGUACACAACAUACCAUAUACUGGAGUAUAGCUUCGGGAAACUGAAGGUAAUCCUCCAUAACAUUGCGAGAAGGCAUCUAAUUGCAAUUAAAGUUUCGACGGUAUAUGAUUGGUGUGCGUUUGAUUAGCUAGUUGGUAGGUAACGGCCUACCAAGGCGACGAUCAAUAGCUGGCGUGAGAGCGCGACCAGCCACACUGGAACUGAGACACGGUCCAGACUCCUACGGGAGGCAGC
This 311-nucleotide ribosomal RNA is filed under the name uncultured bacterium. RNAcentral describes it as "bacterial SSU rRNA". It matches the Rfam family "Bacterial small subunit ribosomal RNA", at positions 28 to 352 of the family's 1533-position model. The record is from RNAcentral.